This 22-nucleotide small nuclear RNA is filed under the name Arabidopsis thaliana (thale cress). Its description in RNAcentral is "snRNA_02398". The record is from RNAcentral. Lineage: Eukaryota; Viridiplantae; Streptophyta; Magnoliopsida; Brassicales; Brassicaceae.
UUUGGGCCGAAACCCGUAUUCC